CUACGGGGUGCAGCAGUGGGGAAUAUUGCACAAUGGAGGAAACUCUGAUGCAGCAACGCCGCGUGGAGGAUGAUACUUUUCGGAGCGUAAACUCCUUUUAUAUAGGAAGAAGAUGACGGUACUAUAUGAAUAAGCGCCGGCUAACUCCGUGCCAGCAGCCGCGGUAAUACGGAGGGCGCAGGCGUUACUCGGAAUCACUGGGCGUAAAGAGCGUGUAGGCGGAUUAAAAAGUCAGAAGUGAAAUCCUAUAGCUUAACUAUAGAACUGCUUCUGAAACUCUUAAUCUAGAAUAUGGGAGAGGUAGAUGGAAUUUCUGGUGUAGGGGUAAAAUCCGUAGAGAUCAGAAGGAAUACCGAUUGCGAAGGCGAUCUACUAGAACAUUAUUGACGCUGAGACGCGAAAGCGUGGGGAGCAAACAGGAUUAGAUACCCGGGUAGUC
This 439-nucleotide ribosomal RNA is filed under the name uncultured bacterium. Its description in RNAcentral is "partial 16S ribosomal RNA". It matches the Rfam family "Bacterial small subunit ribosomal RNA", at positions 339 to 795 of the family's 1533-position model. The record is from RNAcentral.